GUAACACUGAUGUCUAUAGAGCACAGUCUAUAUGAGCAUUUCAGAAACAUUUUAUCUUUAUGAACUGAUCAUUAUUUUGGAAGGCGAUGACAGAGCCACUGAAAGUCGAUAACUAUUUCUUAUCUUGGAAGCAUUACUAGGAACAAAAAUUGACAACGCUCAUGUGAUAUUGUCUAAAAGUCAGAUCAAGUUGUUGAUUGGAUAUUGGUGCUAGAUCGUAAUUUAC
This is a non-coding RNA of Pelobates cultripes (western spadefoot toad), 226 nucleotides long. Lineage: Eukaryota; Metazoa; Chordata; Amphibia; Anura; Pelobatidae. The record is from the annotation of a GenBank genome assembly.